UUUCCGUAGGUGAACCUGCGGAAGGAUCAUUAUUGUAUAAGCGGGGUCCGAGGCCUGUCGCUGGCACGAGAGUUCGUGCACGCCCGGGUUCCCUCACCCAUACCCAUCUCACCCCUUUGUGCACCACCGCGUGGGUCACCCUUUGGCGUGUUCGGGGGGGGGCUUACGUUUUCACAAAAACUUUGUAUGCAGUGUAGAAUGUAUUUUUUGUGUUUGCGAUCACGCAAUCAAUACAACUUUCAACAACGGAUCUCUUGGCUCUC
This 263-nucleotide unclassified non-coding RNA is filed under the name plant metagenome. RNAcentral's name for it is "partial contains small subunit ribosomal RNA, internal transcribed spacer 1, and 5.8S ribosomal RNA". The record is from RNAcentral.